GACGAACGCUGGCGGCGUGCUUAACACAUGCAAGUCGAACGGAAAGGCCCUGCUUGCAGGGUACUCGAGUGGCGAACGGGUGAGUAACACGUGGGUGAUCUGCCCUGCACUUCGGGAUAAGCCUGGGAAACUGGGUCUAAUACCGGAUAGGAGCCAUUUUUAGUGUGAUGGUUGGGAAGUUUUUUUCGGUGUAGGAUGAGCUCGCGGCCUAUCAGCUUGUUGGUGGGGUAAUGGCCUACCAAGGCGGCGACGGGUAGCCGGCCUGAGAGGGUGGACGGCCACAUUGGGACUGAGAUACGGCCCAGACUCCUACGGGAGGCAGCAGUGGGGAAUAUUGCACAAUGGGCGCAAGCCUGAUGCAGCGACGCCGCGUGGGGGAUGACGGCCUUCGGGUUGUAAACUCCUUUCGCUAGGGACGAAGCUUUUUGUGACGGUACCUAGAUAAGAAGCACCGGCUAACUACGUG
RNAcentral lists this ribosomal RNA (466 nucleotides) under uncultured bacterium. RNAcentral describes it as "partial 16S ribosomal RNA". It matches the Rfam family "Bacterial small subunit ribosomal RNA", at positions 28 to 507 of the family's 1533-position model. The record is from RNAcentral.